ACCCUCGUUGUGACUAAAGGAUCUUCCAUCAUUUACUCCUAGCCUUCUGUAUAUUCACUGGGAGCAAAAAAAAUGAGAUCAGAUUCCAUCAAAAUCGCAUGCAAGUUAGCAGACACCAUAAACCAAGUAAUAUGCUCCAGGAAAGUCAAAAGAUUCAGAUGUGCACACUACUAACUCCAAGAUGCACCAAAGAGGAUGAAGCCAACUGAAUGCCAGUUCAAACUGAAAGCUGCCACAAAGACCAAAUCAUCAAUAAUAUGUGUCAGAAUCGCUAAUCAGAAGUCAAAACCAUCGGGGAAGCAGACACAGUCGAGGCUGAUGGCUUCACCAAGUCCCUGCACCAACUGACGUUUUACUAUACUUUCCAACUCUACAAUCUUGCACUAACACCUCCAACACUGCAAAUGCACGAACAACCCAAAUAAAAGGCAUACUUCAAAAAUUCUUCAGAGAAAGUGAGGCGGAAUUAUGAAGUCUAUGUAGAGAGUACUAAGAUUUUGAGGUUGUAGGAAACUCUUCCAUCCAGAAGCCCUGAACUCUGUGGAUCAAUUUGAAUACUCAGACUAACAACUCAGGAAACUGGUUUUCUAACCGACAAAAUAGAAAAAAUACGAAAUUAGAUCUGAAGACAGAUUUUCAUGUAGCAUGACAUGCUCUUAUCUUAUAUGCUCUUAUGGUAUAUGCCCUCAAACUUGAUAAUAUGGUAAAACUGUUCACUUAGGAGACUUGAUUGCACACUCUAAUUUGCCAAAGUUUAUAUGCUUGGAAGAGAAAAACUGUAUAACAAAUGGAUAUAAAACCAAAGUACCAAUGAGUGUGCCUCAUCCUUCCCGCCAGGAAGCUCUAUUUAUGAGCAUCAAAUAGACUAUUUCCACUUGGCAGCAAGGCAUACUAAUAGGCACACAAAAAGUUAACCUGUACAUGAUGUUUAUCUCUUAUAAUAUCAUCUUUGCAAAGGGAAAAAAUGCAGAACAACCAAAUAAAAGCUUAGUAUUGUUAUCUAAAACAGUAGUACAUCAUAAAAUCACCUAUCGUAUCAUUUGUUUUCCACCAAAUCUUAUUUCCAUUGUCUAGCAUAACAAAUCAUCACAAAUCAUCGAUCCUCUGAUCAUGAAACAUGCCCAACCAAAAUAUAAAAAGCAGAAAGGUAAUAUAUUCUGGGUGCAUGAUGGAAGGGCAACAUGAGCUAAAUUUUAUUGUCUCAUUUUAAAGUGUAAAGCAUGGAUUGCACAAUUGCACACGGAAAUUAAGGAGAUAUAUGUGCAGAGCAGGGUCCGCACGGACCUUCGGAUCAGCACCACCAAGCAUCAAAUAGAGGCAGAAAGAAAUCCAUGGUAUGUCAGAAAAUUCAGUUGCUAGUUUGCUACUACACCAUGCUUCAUCACACACGUACUACCACACAUCAAAUGUCUGCGGUACAAUUAAGAUAGUUAAACUGGCAGAUCAGGUGGAAAGCAUGGUGCAAAUUUGAAUUUUUGGAACAAUCAUUUGGUUGUAUAGUUUACUUGUAGUAGUUCAUAGAUUAUAAUAUGUCAAUUUUGAGGUAAGGUGACCACAUGGCAAGCAAGAUGUCAUGGAGCAAAUUUGAGGUAAGGUGACCACAUGGCAAGCAAGAUGUCAUGGAGCAAAUUUCAGUGGACAACCGACGAAGUAGAGUGAUAAUUGGGUGCGUACCCGAUCGAGCAUCCAGAGCUUCGCCUAGUUUCUUUCCCUGUCAGACAUCACUUCCCUUCUCCUUGGAGGCUGAAGGACCCCUUUGAAGGAAGUGUCGAAUGUUAAGCUUC
This 1784-nucleotide long non-coding RNA is filed under the name Triticum aestivum (bread wheat). Its description in RNAcentral is "long non-coding RNA (TAES_LNC018458)". The record is from RNAcentral. Lineage: Eukaryota; Viridiplantae; Streptophyta; Magnoliopsida; Poales; Poaceae.